AAAGGGUCCGCAGGCGGAUUUAUAAGUCAGUGGUGAAAGCCCAUCGCUCAACGAUGGAACGGCCAUUGAUACUGUCAGACUUGAAUUACUAGGAAGUAACUAGAAUAUGUAGUGUAGCGGUGAAAUGCUUAGAUAUUACAUGGAAUACCAAUUGCGAAGGCAGGUUACUACUAGUGGAUUGACGCUGAUGGACGAAAGCGUGGGGAGCGAACAGGAUUAGAUACCCUUGU
RNAcentral lists this ribosomal RNA (230 nucleotides) under uncultured bacterium. Its description in RNAcentral is "partial 16S ribosomal RNA". It matches the Rfam family "Bacterial small subunit ribosomal RNA", at positions 562 to 791 of the family's 1533-position model. The record is from RNAcentral.